GGUGUGGCACAAGAUUUUUUCAAAUUUUAAAUUUGAAAAACGUUUUGUGGAUCUCACGCACGUCGCACUCUAUGGACACGCAAUUGGGUUAAAAACCCACCCACAUGGGACCCCCGGGAAUCACUUAUAGCUGCCAUUACGAGCUUUAAUUAAAAAAAAAAAUGUUAAUAUUAAAUCGACGCUGUCACGCGGUUUCUACUUUGCGCCACGCGGUUUUGAAAUAGAUAUUUUCAUUUUAUUUCCUUUAAAAUUUCCGCCCCAUUCCUCAUGCCACUUAGUGCUGAAGCUAUACUGCCUUCUACCAAAUUUCAGGCACAUCAUUACAGAUUUAAAGAAAAGAGAACACAGAAAUCAUUUAUCACACCAAAAAAAAAUCUGAAAAAAUUUGAAAUCUCAAAAGACUUGGUAGUGUAUUCCGGUCCUUUUCUCUUGCUUUUGGCAGAAGAGUCAUUACCCGUUAUGUAAAAGUAAUAGUGGGAUACUUGAUAAACCAUGAAGCUUCCUAGAAGCUUCCCUUCAACUUAAACUCCACUCACCAUCUGCCAGUGCCAGCAGUAGUGCAAAUUGCAGAACUGAAGAAGACCAAUUUCGAAGUAGUGCCCAUUGUAAAACUGAAGAAGACAAUUUCAAACGGAUCUGAUCUGGAGUUCACGUUUAUGGUGAAGGAAUAAAAAAGAUGAAGAGGAGUUUCGGCCGGAAUUCACCGAAAUAGCUCGAAAUGGCCGAAAUUGACAGUAAUGACUCGGAAUUUAAUCCAAGGUUGAAUAGGGGGUUUCUCGUUCCGGUUUGCAUACCAGAAUGGUAUUUUCCGGCCGUUCUGACCAGAACGGAACAGAAUUAAUAACUUAUCU
This is a long non-coding RNA of Quercus robur (English oak), 851 nucleotides long. RefSeq lists it as uncharacterized. Lineage: Eukaryota; Viridiplantae; Streptophyta; Magnoliopsida; Fagales; Fagaceae. The transcript has 3 exons. The record is from RefSeq and is a predicted model, not a curated record.